Long non-coding RNA from Dermacentor andersoni, 568 nucleotides. RefSeq lists it as uncharacterized. NCBI's taxonomy places the organism in Eukaryota, Metazoa, Arthropoda, Arachnida, Ixodida, Ixodidae. The record is from RefSeq and is a predicted model, not a curated record.
GCAGCGUCGAAACAGGUGGUGGGGUUAGGAUAGCGACCACGUCAAGCACAUACGCAUUUCAGCACUUCCACAGGACAUUGUGCAGUUUGGAGCAGAGCGGGCUCGAAGGAAAGGUCAGUCAAUAUCUUUGUGAUAUAAAAGGCCUGAAAAUGAUACUGCUGCUGUGGACUUUUGUGGGAAGCCUCUUCUUCGCUUGCGCAUCGAACACAAUGGCUGAAAAGCGAGGGAUGACAACACCGGGGUCUCGGCUACCAAGAGAGCGCGAGAUUGUGCAAGACGAUUUGACAUGCCGUGAAGUGUACGAGCCGUGCUUAGCGAACACUGACUGCUGCGCCCACUUGCCAUGCAUCAACAAGCGAUGUUCCCUUUAGGAGCCAUCGAUGGAAAAUCCUGGGUUGACCACCGAGGGCAGCUCAGAAAGUGGGGCUCCCGCUGGGCGAAAAACAAUUUGGGAUACCUUCCCAACGCACAGGAAAAUGGCUUACACCAUAUGCCACUUGCUCUUUCUUCAUGCCCGAUAGUUAUAUGUUAUAGCGGGUACGCCCGGAAUAAAAUAUCUUGAAGUGUC